UUUAGUAAAGCAUGUUCUGUCAUAUUUUUUCUCAGCAGUUGCAGUCAGACCACCCCCGUCGGGGCGGGGGUCUUGCCCUAUAAAUAGCCCGCCGGGGCGGGCAUAGCUACUGUUAACUCACGGAUUCAUGCUCUGCUACAAAAUAACAAGCCAAAAAUACAUUCUACCUUCAUAAUUUGAGUUAUACAUGUCCAAAUUAGUCCGUUUUCGAUUCUAUGGAUUCAUAAUUCAUAGAACUACAACAUACUAUAAUACCCAUCAACUAACAUAAACAUUAACUAACCCAAAUAUGAAUCUAUAACUCAUGUUCAUGCAAAUAUUCAUGUUUUGGAUAAUUUAGCGAAUUCGUUCACUACGAAUUCGUUUCUCAACCAAAUUGGUUCGUUUAACUUCCGUUGAUUUCGUAUUUGACUAUAUUAACAAUAUCUAACAACAAUUAAUGGAUUAUAACAAUCCUUAGCCAUCAAUUUUGUGACUCAAAAAUGACUUUUUCUUGUUAUUACUAAGGAUUUCAUAAUCUUGAAAUGAAGAACAUAUAUAUGUAUUACAAUCACACAAUCAUCAUGCUUUCACCAUUCUAUCACUGAUUUCAGUUUAUAGAAACAUAGAGGAGAAGAAGUUAGUACCUUUGAAGAGUUCUUCUACUUCAUAUGCUUAUUUCUUCUUCUUAUUGUAUUUACCAAAUUGCAAAAGCUCUCUUGACAUUCCCUUAUCUCUCAACCUCAUUGACUCUCUAUUCUACUAUCCUUCCAUAGCCAAAAUCUCAGACAUCUCAACAAAAGAAAAUAAGAUGAGAGAGUCUCUAUUUAUAGAGAAAGUGUUAUCCAAGCAAUAGCUUUGCCCUAGAAAUCAAACUAGUGGAAGAAAGAAGAAUUCAUUAGACAAUAAGGAGUUGUUGGAUGGUAGUUGAUUCACAUCAUUAUUCCCACUCCCCUUUUCAUCAUUUGGAAGCUAUGGAUUUUGGAGAAGAAGAAGCAAGCUAGCUUCUAGCCUUUUUGCAUUUCACGUUAAUGAAGAAUGACUCUCAAUUUGGGACACUACUCUUAAAACUCAGCAUUUCAUAUUACUAAUAGCCUACUUAGGUUUAUUUGAUAUUUUCCCCCAAAUGUGCAUACAUAUAUACUCACUCACAUAGAAUUAUAUAAUCCAUGUACAUUGGUUUAUUCCAAUAAAUAUUUUAAUUGGGCUAAUUAUAAAAUAGUUGGAUAUUCUCAACCCAUCAUUUUCCAUAAAAUUUAUCAUCUCAAAUAUACCCAAUUAUGAUAAUUAAUAUCAAUUAUAUUAACUCCUCAUUUAUUUUCCCAUUAAAUCCCCCUUUGAUUUAACUUCCCUAGUUAUGCCACACAAGACAUAAUUAUGUGAACUUAGUAAUUAAUAGUCCACAAGCUUAUAAUAAUAUAAUCUCACAAAAUAAUAUUAUUCUCAAUAUUACAUCUUAUAACAUGGUCAUGGAAGUAAUCUAUUGCACCAUGUUACAUUUUAUUAUCUCACUUGUACAUAAUGCUAACAUACAAGCCUUUAUACAUAUGUAUUCAAAUACUUCAUAUAUUAUAUAGUUACUAUUGAAGUGUCACACUUCAAUUCAUAUCAUAUAGAUGUAGCUACUAUAUAAU
Molecule: long non-coding RNA, 1613 nt
Filed under: Panax ginseng (ginseng)
Lineage: Eukaryota; Viridiplantae; Streptophyta; Magnoliopsida; Apiales; Araliaceae
Description: long non-coding RNA (PGIN_LNC002690)
Source: RNAcentral